Molecule: transfer RNA, 99 nt
Filed under: Galerina marginata CBS 339.88
Lineage: Eukaryota; Fungi; Basidiomycota; Agaricomycetes; Agaricales; Galerinaceae
Rfam family: tRNA
About the family: Transfer RNA (tRNA) molecules are approximately 80 nucleotides in length. Their secondary structure includes four short double-helical elements and three loops (D, anti-codon, and T loops).
Source: Rfam by way of RNAcentral
GCCCGCCUAGCUCAAUCGGAUAGAGCGUCAGACUCUUAGGCGGUGUCAUUUCAUUCAUUAGGAAUCUGAAGGCUGCGAGUUCGACCCUCGCGGUGGGCU